Molecule: ribosomal RNA, 478 nt
Filed under: uncultured Roseateles sp.
Lineage: Bacteria; Pseudomonadati; Pseudomonadota; Betaproteobacteria; Burkholderiales; Sphaerotilaceae
Description: bacterial SSU rRNA
Rfam family: Bacterial small subunit ribosomal RNA
Source: RNAcentral
UUACACCACUAGCGAAAGUCGAACGGGUAAACAGGUUAAGGACGUGACGGAGUAGGGCGAACGGGUAGGAGGUAAUGUAUCGGAACGUAGGCCCAGUCGUCGGGGGAGUAACUAGCUCGAAAGAGCAGCUAAUACCGCAUACGACCUGAGGGUGAAAGCGGGGGAGUCGCAAGACCUCGCGCGAUUGGAGCGGCCGAUAUCAGAUUAGGUAGUUGGUGAGGUAAAGGCUCACCAAGCCGACGAUCUGUAGCUGGUCUGAGAGGACGACCAGCCACACUGGGACUGAGACACGGCCCAGACUCCUACGGGAGGCAGCAGUGGGGAAUUUUGGGCAAUGGGCGCAAGCCUGAUCCAGCCAUGCCGCGUGCGGGAAGAAGGCCUUCGGGUUGUAAACCGCUUUUGUCAGGGAAGAAAAGGUUCUGGCUAAUACCUGGGACUCAUGACGGUACCUGAAGAAUAAGCACCGGCUAACUACGUG